This 73-nucleotide transfer RNA is filed under the name Vibrio cholerae. RNAcentral describes it as "tRNA-Arg". It matches the Rfam family "tRNA". From Rfam's summary of the family: Transfer RNA (tRNA) molecules are approximately 80 nucleotides in length. Their secondary structure includes four short double-helical elements and three loops (D, anti-codon, and T loops). Lineage: Bacteria; Pseudomonadati; Pseudomonadota; Gammaproteobacteria; Vibrionales; Vibrionaceae. RNAcentral also lists the same sequence under 1 other name. The record is from RNAcentral.
UCGUAGCUCAGCUGGAUAGAGUACCUGGCUACGAACCAGGCGGUCAGAGGUUCGAAUCCUCUCGAGCGCGCCA